ACGUAAGUUAAAAUCACAACACAUCCUGCUUGCUCCAUCUUUUGCUUUGCUGAGGCCAAGGGCAGAGAUCAGAUGACGAUGUGGCCGAAAAUGAUCUGGAUCGCUUUCAUGGUUGCUGUCUCCGUCGCUCGCAUUGAUGGACUGCACAUCGUUAAGCGAAGCGCCGUGGGAGAUGGAACAAACGAGGUGAGCGCCGAUAAGGUCUCGUCGCCAUCAGCAGCAGCAACAGAGAGUGCUGGGAACAGCGGGGACUCCUCCUCCUCUUCCUCGGGUGUUUCCGUGGAUUCGUCUAAUUCUACCAUCUCCAACAUGGUUCCGUCGCCGAGCACAUCAGUGUCCAUCAUAUCCUCUACCCCUGGAAUACAGGUCACUACUGAUACAACGACUACAAGUAACUCUUCUUCAUCCAUAGCUGCAGAAGGCGGUACAGCUGCAGCCACAGCUGUAGUAGUUGGUACAGUUGCGGCAGAGGUUGUUGCCUCACCCCCAGCCAGUUCGUCAUCAGCUGGAAAUACUAGUGCUUCUUCAGCAACAAACAUCACCAAUACCGCGUCUUCAUCAACAACUGCCGCAAACGCUGGUGCGUCAUCCAGUGUCACAGCUAGUUCUGCCCCAGGCCCUAACAUGGGUAUCCAACAGUCUGCGUCUGUCAACGCCCCCAUAGUUUCCUCGAAUACUUCUGCAACCACGAAUGCAACUUCGGCAACAUCAACAGCUGGGUCAUCAGCCAAUGCAAUUGCAACAUCAGCCGACUCCAGCGCCUUUGCUUCAGCUUUUGUUCUUGUCAAUCCAUCAUCUGCUCCUGGACUAAAUGCUAGUUCUCCAAACACUUCAGUGACGUCUACAAGUACUGGUUCAUUAUCUACGACCGUGAACAACACUAGUUCCACUACAAUCGGAGCUACGGCAUUAACAACAGCAACAAGUGCCAGCACGUCAUCAACAACAAUAACAGGCGCUGGCACAUCAACAACAGGGACAAGUGCCAGCACAUUAUCAGCUGCAGAAACAAAUUCCAUCACAUCAUCAGGACCAGUUGCUAGCACACAAUCAACAGGAACAAACACUGUCCAUACGUCAUCAGCAACAGGAACAAGCUCCAUCGCGUCAUCAGCUACAGGAACAAACUCCAUCGCGUCAUCAGCUACAGGAACAAACUCCAUCGCGUCAUCAGCUACAGGAACAGUCGCUAGCCCAACGUCAACAGGAACAAACACUGUCAAUGCGUCAUCAGCAACGGGAACAAGCUCCAUCACGUUAUCAGCUACAGGAACAAACUCCAUCUCGUCAUCAGCUGCAGGAACAAACUCAAUCACUUCAUCAGGAACAGGCGCAGUCACAGCGUCAGCAGCAGGAACAAGUGCGAGCACGUCAUCGGCUUCAGGAACAAGCGCCGGCACUGCAUUGGCAUCAGGAACAAGCGCGAGUACGUCAUCGGCUAUAGGAACAGGUGCGAGCACAACAUCUACAGGAACAACAGGCGCCGUCACGGCGUCAGCAACAGGAACAAGUACGAGCACGUCAUCGGCUUCAGGAACAGGUGCGAGCACGUCAUCGGCUACAGGAACAGGUGCGAGCACAACUUCAAGAGGAACAACAGGUGCCGUGACAGCAUCGGCAGCAUUAACAAGUGCGAGCACGUCAUCGGCUACAGGAACAAGCGCCGGCACUGCACUAGCAACAGGAACAAGCGCGAGUACGUCAUCGGCUAUAGGAACAGGUGCGAGCACAACAUCUACAGGAACAACAGGCGCCGUCACGGCGUCAGCAACAGGAACAAGUACGAGCACGUCAUCGGCUUCAGGAACAGGUGCGAGCACGUCAUCGGCUACAGGAACAGGUGCGAGCACAACAUCAACAGGAACAACAAGCGCCGGCACGGCGUCAGCAGCAGGAACAAAAGCGAACACGCCAUCGGCUACAGAAAUAAGUUCCAACAUCAAUGAUAGUGCUUCCCCUGCCAGUGAAACGUCGGAAGCGAACAAAGGUCAAAAAGUGGACACAAAGGGAGUGGGGACGACGUCUGUGACGGAGGCAACAAACAAACAACUCGACACAGUCAUCCCGGAAAUACAGAACACACAGCUGUCGCUGGAGCAGAUUAAACAAUUAGUGAAGAUUUACAAACUUCGACCAAGUAACUACGGCCGCUUCUUGGAGGCCCUGCAGUGGCAGUCGUCGAAAACAGUCAGGACCAUGGACACACGCCGUAGAGUCAUCACAUCAGUUGCAGCAACGUACCAGGUGGUGCUCAAUGGAGGAGACUGUGUACCCUGGAACAGCUUCCCCUUCGACCGUACACUCACCUGGCAGGGAGGACGCGCCACGAUCCAUUUCUUCAAUCCCGAUGGACGCUAUGCCGAGCUCUGUAUGGGUAACCCUCUGACAGAAGUCGACAAGUCAUGUCGCUUCCAGGUGGUCAUUCCCAAUGACAUAAUCACCGCCAUAGACACUCCAGGAUUCGUGGUGUACAACCGAAUCAUGCAUAUUCAACACCAGGGAGAUGUUCACACGAUUGACAAUAUGUUAUCACGGGGCGCCGAGUUCGUGAAGCGGCAGGAAACAAUCCAGGAGUUCGCCUCCUGCUACAACUAAACCCUGAGGUACACAACAAGCCUGUGGGUGCUGCAUGUACAACCAAUCAACAGAAAUAACACUGUCGCUGUGGACACGCGUCAUUGUUCAACGUCUUUGUGUAACACACAUCUACAGCUCUUACUGCCCAGAGGGUCAGUUAUGUAAAAAAUAUACCAUAGACCUUUUCUCAAGACAGUCAAGGGUGUUAUAAUUAUACAUAUAUGUAUGUCUGUGUAUAUAUGGCCUUUUUUCCAGAGGGCAAGGUUGUAACAAUCACAUAUGUAACCUCCUUCCCGAAAGUUAAGGUUGUGACAAUCACAUAUGUGACCUCCUUCCCGAAGGUCAAGGUUGUGACAAUCACAUAUGUGACCUCCUUCCCGAAGGUCAAAGUUGUGACAAUCAUGACCUCUUUUCCAGGAGGUUCAAAGUUGUAACAAUCAUAUAUAUGGCCUCCAUUGUUGAGGGUCACGGUUGCAACAAACAUGACCUUCUUUCCGGAGGGGGUUGUAAUAAUCAUGGAUAUGACCUCCAUUCUAGAGGGUCAAGGUCGUGACAAUAAUGGCCUCUUUUUCUAGGGGGAUCAAGGUUGUGACCAUAACCAAAUGGUCUCUUCUCCCUAGGGUCCUGGUUGUACCAAUUUCUGGAGGUUCAGGGUUGUAUAAUUAAUAUAUACAGUCUCCUUUCUGGAGGAUCAAGGUUAUAUAAUAAAUAUACAGAACCUCUAUAGAGGGUUAAGGUUGUAACAAUUGAGUCUAUGACAUACCUUCCAGAGAGUAUGAACGUGUCAAUAGUGCUUCAUGAUCCACGUAUCACAUUGUGAAUAAAGAGAUAAUUUAUA
This 3415-nucleotide unclassified non-coding RNA is filed under the name Haliotis rubra (blacklip abalone). RNAcentral describes it as "pneumococcal serine-rich repeat protein-like, transcript variant X1". Lineage: Eukaryota; Metazoa; Mollusca; Gastropoda; Lepetellida; Haliotidae. The record is from RNAcentral.